GUGAUUGCUUUGGCAACACAUCUAGGACAAUUUGAACAAUACAGAGAUUAGCACAGCCCCUGAGCAAGGUUGACACAUGAAUUUCUGAAGCAUUCCAUUAAAAA
This is a small nuclear RNA of Gorilla gorilla gorilla (western lowland gorilla), 104 nucleotides long. NCBI's taxonomy places the organism in Eukaryota, Metazoa, Chordata, Mammalia, Primates, Hominidae. The record is from Ensembl.